Molecule: long non-coding RNA, 487 nt
Organism: Alligator mississippiensis (American alligator)
Lineage: Eukaryota; Metazoa; Chordata; Crocodylia; Alligatoridae
Exons: 3
Source: RefSeq, a predicted model, not a curated record
CCUUGAGGGCUGGCAGAUUUCCAGCCUCCAAGGAGCUGAGUGGGGCUGGGGAGAGUGGGGAACAGUGAUCAUGAUUGGAGAUAGGGUGCAGGGUAGUGGGAGCAGCAGCCCUGACAGCUGGAUAAACGUUCCACUCCAGCUGCGCCAGGCUCUUUCCUCUGUUCCAGCGACAGCAGCUGCCACCUCCCAUAUGUGGCAGCCAGGCCUCAGAGAAAACAAGGAUCCCUGAUUAUGACUGAUCCCAACUACAAGGAUAGCAACACAGAGGUUAGCAAACAAGUGCUCCAUCUGACCAGACUCCAGCAGAUGUACUAAAACAAUUGACUUCACUGCAAAAUAGCUUAAACUAUUCUGUGCCCUCCUUUGCUGCAAAAGGAAUAAUACUUAAUAUUCCAGCUGUGAGCUCCACCCCCUUCUUCACACGCCACCAGAAUUAUAGGUUUAUGGAUCUUUUGUUCAAUAAAGAAAAAGGAGUUCUUACCACUGA